UACGAAGGGGGCUAGCGUUGCUCGGAAUUACUGGGCGUAAAGGGUGCGUAGGCGGGUCUUUAAGUCAGAGGUGAAAUCCUGGAGCUCAACUCCAGAACUGCCUUUGAUACUGAGGAUCUUGAGUUCGGGAGAGGUGAGUGGAACUGCGAGUGUAGAGGUGAAAUUCGUAGAUAUUCGCAAGAACACCAGUAGCGAAGGCGGCUUACUGGUCCGGUUCUGACGCUGAGGCGCGAAAGCGUGGGGAGCAAACAGG
Molecule: ribosomal RNA, 253 nt
Filed under: uncultured bacterium
Lineage: Bacteria
Description: partial 16S ribosomal RNA
Rfam family: Bacterial small subunit ribosomal RNA
Source: RNAcentral